Molecule: long non-coding RNA, 3175 nt
Filed under: Sus scrofa (pig)
Lineage: Eukaryota; Metazoa; Chordata; Mammalia; Artiodactyla; Suidae
Description: lncRNA (ENSSSCG00000054564.1)
Source: RNAcentral
UGUCUGUGACCUACACUGCAGCUCAUGGCAAUGCCGGAUCCUUAACCCACUGAGUGGGGCCAGGGAUCAAACUUGCAUCCUCAUGGAUACUAGUCAGGUUUGCUACUGCUGAGCCACAAUGGGAAUGCCCUAUUUUAUUUAUUUUUAAAUAAUUUAUAUUUAAAAUUGCAUAGCCAUAUGCCUCCAAUAGCUACCAUGGUGGACAGCACAGUUUGAGCACAAUAUGCAACUUCCAGUUCCUCUUCACCUUCCUGAGUUAUAGAAUUGUCUCUCACAUGCUGAAAUAUUGUCUGGUGUUUAUUCUAUCUUUAUUCACUACCUGUACUUGGGUUUUAGUUUAAAUUCCAGUUACUAUAUUUAUAUCUGCAUUUUACGUCUCCUUUGGCUUCCUACCAAGCAUGUAGUUUUAGAUACUGAGUCAUUUCCUCUAUUAAUUCAGGGGAUAUUCUAAUGUCAUGUGAACUAAUCUCUGAAUCAAAAUGGAGAUACUUUCUCCUCACUACUUGUCAUACCCAUGCACACCUUUAUUGAGCAUUACUUUCUAUGCAAGGCAUUGAGGUAGGUGUUGCAGAUAUAGUAUCAUUCAAUCUUCGCAAUAACCAUGUGUGUUAUCAUUAAGAUUCCUGUUUUAUAGAUGAUGAAAUCUAUACUUGGAGAAAUUAAAUGACUUUCUGUAAUCUCAUAAUUAAUUUGUUCUGAAAUGGAAAUCAAUUUCAAGUUCCUUGUCUACAAUCAUCCCAGAUUUUUAGUCUCUAAACUAUGUCACCAUUUUUGCACAGUGCAAUGAUGUUUGUUUUUAAUAUUAUUAGUGACAGCAAGCCUAUAAAUUUGAAAGGCAAUGCAUUUCAUUUACAACUUUAAGAGAGCUUUGGUCCUUCCAUAGUUUUUUAGUGGUUCCUCAAGUAAAAAAUGGCUAUGCCAUCCACUUCUUUGGCUUUUCUUCCUUAGAUUUGAUCAAGGUUUUAAGUAUUAUUUCCUAACAUCAGCUUAAAAGUGCAUACCAGAUUUGCAGUCUGAUAUGGUGCAGAUCUUUCUCCCAACGGUUUCCUUUCCGUUCCAUUCCUUUUCUUUCUUUGUUGCUUAUUUUUUUUUUUUUUUUUUUUUUUUUGCUUUUUAGGGCUGCUUCCACAGCACAUGGAAGUUCCCUCCCAGGCUAGGGGGUGAAUUGAAGCUGCAGUUGCCAGCCAAUGUGACAGCUACAGCAUCACAGGAUCUGGACUGCAUCUGCAACCUACACCACAGUUCAUGGCAAUCCUGGAUCCUUAACCCACUGAGCGGGACCAGGAAUCAAACCUGCAACCUCAUGGAUUCUAGUAGGUUUUGUUACCCCCAAGCCACAAGGGGAACUCCCCCAACAGUUUCUACUCAUUGUUCUUAAUUUAGCUUCUUCACCUGUUCUAAACAAAUGGGUGCCCUUAGACUAGGGAAUAGAGAUGAGAAGCUGGGUUUGGAAUUCAGGCAGCUGUAAGUUUAAUUACUGGCUCCAAAUUUUAUGAAUUAUGUGAUCUUCUGCUUCUCCAUGCCUCUCUUUUAUCUAUAAAAUUGAAUUAAAAUACCUAUCUCAAAACAGUUGUUUCAAGGAAGAAAUGAAAUGAGGUUGAUGUAACACCUGGAAGAAAGUCUAGGAUACAGUGAACUGGUUAACAAAUCCGACUAGGAACCAAGAGGUUGUGGGUUUGAUCCCUGGCCUUGCUUAGUGGGUUAAGGAUCCGGCGUUGCUGUGAGCUAUGGUGUAGGUUGCAGACUUGGCUCAGAUCCCUCGUUGCUGUGAAUCUGGCGUAGGCCCGUGGCUAUAGCUCCGAUUCGACCCCUAACCUGGGAAUCUCCAUAUGCUGCGGGAGCAGCCCAAGAAAUGGCAAAAAGACACACAUACAAAAAAAAGACAGCUUCCAUGUGCCCCUCAACCUGCAGUUUCCCUAUCAUAGGUCACAAAUUAAGGCAUAACCAUAACAAAUGGUUAUGUCUCUUACUUCCCGUUUUUCUCAUCUAGAUUUGACCCCCGGUUUAAGUAUUGCUCCACAAAUUGUGAGCUCUAAAAAGGAAUAUAUUCCAUGCACUCUCAUAAAUUCUCUGCAUAUACCAAAAACACAUAAACUUUGUGCCAUGUUUGAAGCUAAAACAGACUAAUAACAUCGGCCCUGAAGUCAGAGUAGUGAGAGCCGCAUAGGCUUUUAUUGGAAAAUAUAAAGAAGCUGCAGUCUGUGAUAGAGAAGCAAGAAUGAGAUUCUGACAUAAUGCAACAGAUAUUGCUCCUGUUGGGGAGACUUUAAGUAGGCAUGCUUCCAGGUCUUGUGCAAAAUGAAAACAUAAGGGCACUUUUUUAAAAAGAAAAGAAAAAUGCUGUUAACAGUAUUAAAAUUAAAGUUUAAAAAGUUUUUUUUUUCGUUUCUACUGCAGUUUUUCUUUUGACUUGUCAGGGUUCAUUAUAUUUCCUAUUCAGUAUUGUUCUAAGUUUAAAAAAAUAAUUUUUAAGUGUAACUUUUAUGUUUAUAUUUAUAUUGUAUGAUGAUAGUCUUAAAUGAAAAAGUAAGAACAGUUAACUCAUAUCCAGAGUCGCCAAAAUUACACAGUUGGCGUUUAGUAGCUCCCAUGGCACAUGUAUUUUGUUCUGACUAGAACUCAACCAUUUUUAUUUCACUUUUUGAUAUGUGUACUUUCCAACGACAUAUUCUACCUUCAGCUUGCCGAGUAAGGAAGGACAAAAGGCAAAAAGAUCUGUGGGUUGCCCUAUUUUUCAUUUUGCUUCUGUGUCAUCAUUUUCAGCAUUAAUUAGUGGUUGGUUAAUACAGAGUAAUAACAUGAAAAAGAAAGGAUAUAAUAGAAUUUGUUGAAGGUUUGUGUUUCUUGGAAUGUUAUCUCUGUGGUCAAUGACUAAAUUGCUUACACUGCUCCUUUCAUUAGCUGCAUGAGUCCCUCUCUUUCUCUCUGUUCUUUUCAUCACUUUGACUGUAUAUGUAUAUCAAUAUAUUAUAUAUAGUAUUUUAUAUAUAGAUAUGAAAUCAUCUCAAUCAUCCAUCUAGAAUAUAUAUUUAAAAUUUCUUAGUAAUCUAUUUAGAACCCUGUACUUACAAAACCCACACAAUUUUAUUUGCUAUGACCUUUUUGUUCUAUUUUUGUUUUCUAUUUUAAAAAAAAUUCUCCAAAUAUAAAGAAAGAUACUUAGCUUAUAUUUAUG